CUUUACUGUAGCUUUGCAUUGGACUUUGAACCGGUCUGUGUAGGUUAGGUGGGAGGCUGUGAAACCGGGACGCUAGUUUCGGUGGAGCCAACCUUGAAAUACCACCCUGAUUUGUUUGAGGUUCUAACCUUGAUCCGUGAAUCCGGAUCGGGGACCGUGCAUGGUAGGCAGUUUGACUGGGGCGGUCUCCUCCCAAAAGGUAACGGAGGAGUACGAAGGUACGCUUAGGGCGGUCGGACAUCGCCCAUAAAGUGCAAUGGCAAAAGCGUGCUUGACUGCGAGACCCACAAGUCGAGCAGGUGCGAAAGCAGGUCAGAGUGAUCCGGUGGUUCUGUAUGGAAGGGCCGUCGCUCAACGGAUAAAAGGUA
This 368-nucleotide ribosomal RNA is filed under the name uncultured organism. RNAcentral's name for it is "bacterial LSU rRNA". It matches the Rfam family "Bacterial large subunit ribosomal RNA", at positions 2099 to 2465 of the family's 2925-position model. The record is from RNAcentral.